RNAcentral lists this ribosomal RNA (250 nucleotides) under uncultured bacterium. RNAcentral's name for it is "partial 16S ribosomal RNA". It matches the Rfam family "Bacterial small subunit ribosomal RNA", at positions 524 to 773 of the family's 1533-position model. The record is from RNAcentral.
UACGGAGGGUGCAAGCAUUAAUCGGAAUUAUUGGGCGUAAAGGGCGCGUAGGCGGUUUAGUAAGUCAGAUGUGAAAUUUCGAAACUCAACUUCGAAGCUGCAUUUGAUACUGUUUUUCUAGAGGGUUGGCGGAGAAAACGGAAUUCCACAUGUAGCGGUGAAAUGCGUGGAUAUGUGGAAGAACACCUGUGGCGAAAGCGGUUUUCUAGCUAACUCCUGACGCUGAGGCGCGAGAGCAAGGGGAGCAAAC